This 24-nucleotide ribosomal RNA is filed under the name Decoriropa lirata. Its description in RNAcentral is "partial 28S ribosomal RNA". The record is from RNAcentral. RNAcentral also lists the same sequence under 23 other names. Lineage: Eukaryota; Metazoa; Mollusca; Gastropoda; Stylommatophora; Charopidae.
UCCGACCUCAGAUCGGACGAGAUU